Molecule: ribosomal RNA, 493 nt
Filed under: uncultured bacterium
Lineage: Bacteria
Description: partial 16S ribosomal RNA
Rfam family: Bacterial small subunit ribosomal RNA
Source: RNAcentral
GACGAACGCUGGCGGCGCGCUUAACACAUGCAAGUCGAACGGAAAGGCCUGCUUUCCCUUGUGGAUUGCGGGUACUCGAGUGGCGAACGGGUGAGUAACACGUGAGUGAUCUGCCCCCAACUUGGGUAUAAGCCUGGGAAACUGGGUCUAAUUCCCGAUAGGACUGCAGGGUGGUGCCUGUGGUGGAAAACGAUUUUCUAGUGGUUGGGGAUGAGCUCGCGGCCUAUCAGCUUGUUGGUGGGGUAAUGGCCUACCAAGGCGGCGACGGGUAGCCGGCCUGAGAGGGUGGACGGCCACAUUGGGACUGAGAUACGGCCCAGACUCCUACGGGGGCAGCAGUGGGGAAUAUUGCACAAUGGGCGGAAGCCUGAUGCAGCGACGCCGCGUGGGGGAUGACGGCCUUCGGGUUGUAAACUCCUUUCGACCGCGAGGAAGCCACCUGGUUGGAAGGGUGGUGACGGUAGUGGUAGAAGAAGCACCGGCUAACUACGUG